CUUUUAUCAGCUCUAAAACGGCUAAUGAAUAAGGGGUGGGCAAGCCUGGUGUCAGCCGCCGCGGUAAUACCAGCACCCCGAGUGGUCGGGAUGAUUAUUGGGCCUAAAGCAUCCGUAGCCGGUCUUACAAGUCUUCUGUUAAAUCCACCUGCUCAACAGUUGGGCUGCGGGAGAUACUGUAAGACUAGGAGGCGGGAGAGGUGGGGGGUAUUCCUUGGGUAGGGGUAAAAUCCUCUGAUCCAUGGAGGACCACCAGUGGCGAAGGCGUCCCACCAGAACGCGCUCGACGGUGAGGGAUGAAAGCUGGGGGAGCAAACCGGAUUAGAUACCCGGGUAGUCCCAGCUGUAAACGAUGCAGGCUCGGUGAUGGGUUGGGUUCGACCCAACCCAGUGCCGCAGGGAAGCCGUUAAGCCUGCCGCCUGGGGAGUACGGUCGCAAGACUGUUUUCUAAA
Molecule: ribosomal RNA, 453 nt
Filed under: uncultured crenarchaeote
Lineage: Archaea; Thermoproteati; Thermoproteota
Description: bacterial SSU rRNA
Rfam family: Archaeal small subunit ribosomal RNA
Source: RNAcentral